AUGGCUUCCUCGGCCUCCCUGCAGAGCUUCCUCCCGCCCUCCGCCCACGCGGCGACGUCGUCGUCCCGGCACCGGCCCAGCCGCGCCCGCCCCUUCCAGUGCGCGGCCGUCUCCGCGCCGUCAUCCUCGGCCGCCUCGCCGUCGGCCUCGGCCGUCCCGGCGGAGCGGCUGGAGCCUCGCGUGGAGCAGCGGGAGGGCGGCUACUGGGUGCUCAAGGAGAAGUACCGCACCAGCCUGAACCCGCAGGAGAAGGUGAAGCUGGGCAAGGAGCCCAUGGCGCUCUUCACGGAGGGCGGCAUCAAGGAGCUCGCCAAGCUGCCCAUGGAGCAGAUCGACGCCGACAAGCUCACCAAGGAGGACGUCGACGUGCGGCUCAAGUGGCUCGGCCUCUUCCACCGCCGCAAGCAGCAGUAUGGGCGGUUCAUGAUGCGGCUGAAGCUGCCCAACGGCGUGACGACGAGCGAGCAGACGCGCUACCUGGCCGGCGUGAUCGAGAAGUACGGCAAGGAGGGGUGCGCCGACGUGACGACCCGGCAGAACUGGCAGAUCCGCGGCGUGACGCUGCCGGACGUGCCGGAGAUCCUGGAGGGGCUCCGCUCCGUUGGCCUCACCAGCCUGCAGAGCGGCAUGGACAACGUGCGCAACCCCGUCGGCAGCCCGCUCGCCGGCAUCGACCCCCUCGAGAUCGUCGACACGCGCCCCUACACCAACCUCCUCUCCUCCUACAUCACCAACAACUCCGAGGGCAACCUCGCCAUCACCAACCUUCCUAGGAAGUGGAACGUGUGCGUGAUCGGUACCCAUGACCUGUACGAGCACCCGCACAUCAACGACCUGGCGUACAUGCCGGCCGAGAAGGACGGCAAGUUCGGGUUCAACCUGCUGGUGGGCGGGUUCAUCAGCCCCAAGAGGUGGGGCGAGGCCCUGCCGCUCGACGCCUGGGUCCCCGGCGACGACAUCAUCCCGGUCUGCAAGGCCGUCCUCGAGGCUUUCCGCGACCUCGGCACCAGGGGCAACCGCCAGAAGACGCGCAUGAUGUGGCUCAUCGACGAGCUCGGGAUGGAGGCGUUCCGGUCGGAGAUCGAGAAGAGGAUGCCGAACGGCGUGCUGGAGCGCGCGGCGGCCGAGGACCUGAUCGACAAGAAGUGGGAGCGGCGCGACUACCUCGGCGUGCACCCGCAGAAGCAGGAGGGGCUCUCCUUCGUGGGCCUGCACGUGCCCGUCGGCCGGCUGCAGGCCGCCGACAUGUUCGAGCUGGCCCGCCUCGCCGACGAGUACGGCUCCGGCGAGCUCCGCCUCACCGUGGAGCAGAACAUCGUCCUCCCCAACGUCAAGAACGAGAAGGUGGAAGCUCUGCUCGCCGAGCCGCUGCUGCAGAAGUUCUCGGCGCACCCGUCGCUGCUGAUGAAGGGGCUGGUGGCGUGCACGGGCAACCAGUUCUGCGGGCAGGCCAUCAUCGAGACCAAGGCGCGGGCGCUGCAGGUGACGCGCGACGUGGAGGCGCGCGUGUCCGUGCCCAGGGCGGUGCGCAUGCACUGGACGGGGUGCCCCAACAGCUGCGCGCAGGUGCAGGUGGCCGACAUCGGCUUCAUGGGCUGCCUCACCAAGAACAGCAGCGGCAAGAUCGUCGAGGCGGCGGACAUCUUCGUCGGCGGCCGCGUCGGCAGCGACUCGCACCUCACCGGGGUGUACAAGAAGGCGGUGCCGUGCGAGGACCUGGUGCCCCUCGUCGCCGACCUCCUGGUGGAGCGGUUCGGGGCCGUGCCCAGGGAGAGGGAGGAGGACGAGGAGUAG
This 1794-nucleotide ribosomal RNA is filed under the name Triticum aestivum (bread wheat). RNAcentral describes it as "partial small subunit ribosomal RNA". The record is from RNAcentral. Lineage: Eukaryota; Viridiplantae; Streptophyta; Magnoliopsida; Poales; Poaceae.